This 467-nucleotide ribosomal RNA is filed under the name uncultured bacterium. RNAcentral describes it as "partial 16S ribosomal RNA". It matches the Rfam family "Bacterial small subunit ribosomal RNA", at positions 28 to 507 of the family's 1533-position model. The record is from RNAcentral.
GAUGAACGCUGGUGGCGUGCUUAACACAUGCAAGUCGAACGGAAAGGCCCAAGCUUGCUUGGGUACUCGAGUGGCGAACGGGUGAGUAACACGUGGGUGAUCUGCCCUGCACUUCGGGAUAAGCCUGGGAAACUGGGUCUAAUACCGGAUAGGACCACAUUUUGGAUGGUGUGGUGGAAAGUUUUUCGGUGUGGGAUGAGCUCGCGGCCUAUCAGCUUGUUGGUGGGGUAAUGGCCUACCAAGGCGUCGACGGGUAGCCGGCCUGAGAGGGUGUACGGCCACAUUGGGACUGAGAUACGGCCCAGACUCCUACGGGAGGCAGCAGUGGGGAAUAUUGCACAAUGGGCGCAAGCCUGAUGCAGCGACGCCGCGUGGGGGAUGACGGCCUUCGGGUUGUAAACUCCUUUCGCUAGGGACGAAGCGUUUUUGUGACGGUACCUGGAGAAGAAGCACCGGCUAACUACGUG